This 440-nucleotide ribosomal RNA is filed under the name uncultured bacterium. RNAcentral's name for it is "partial 16S ribosomal RNA". It matches the Rfam family "Bacterial small subunit ribosomal RNA", at positions 338 to 795 of the family's 1533-position model. The record is from RNAcentral.
CCUACGGGUGGCAGCAGUGGGGAAUAUUGCACAAUGGGGGAAACCCUGAUGCAGCGACGCCGCGUGAGUGAAGAAGUAUUUCGGUAUGUAAAGCUCUAUCAGCAGGGAAGAAAAUGACGUUACCUGAUUAAGAAGCACCGGCUAACUACGUGCCAGCAGCCGCGGUAAUACGUAGGGGGCACGCGUUAUCCGGAUUUACGGGGUGGAAAGGGAGCGUAGACGGCAGCACAAGUCUGGAGUGAAAUGCCGGGGCUUAACCCCGGAACUGCUUUGGAAACUGUGCAGCUGGAGUGCAGGAGAGGUAAGUGGAAUUCCUGGUGUAGGAGUGAAAUGCGUAGAUAUUAGGAGGAACACCAGUGGCGAAGGCGGCUUACUGGACUGUAACUGACGUUGAGGCUCGAAAGCGUGGGGAGUAAACAGGAUUAGAUACCCGAGUAGUC